CCUACGGGGGGCAGCAGUGGGGAAUAUUGCACAAUGGGGGAAACCCUGAUGCAGCGACGCCGCGUGAGUGAAGACGUAACUCGUUAUGUUAAGCUCUAUCAGCAGGGAAGAAACAGACGGUACCUGAGUAAGAAUCCCCGUCUAUCUAGGGGCCAGCAGCCGCGGCAACACGCAGGGGGCAAGCGUUAUCCGGAUUUACUGGGUGUAAAGGGAGCGUAGACGGGGAAGAAAGUCUGAAGUGAAAGCCUGCGGCUUAACCGCGGAACUGCCUUUGAAACUUUCUUGCUGGAGUACCGGAGAGGUAGGCGGAAUUCGUGGUGUAGCGGUGAAAUGCGUAGAUAUUAGGAAGAACACCGAUGGCGAAGGCAGCGUACUGGACGGUAACUGACGUUGAGGCUCGAAAGCGUGGGGAGCAAACAGGAUUAGAUACCCCAGUAGUC
RNAcentral lists this ribosomal RNA (440 nucleotides) under uncultured bacterium. RNAcentral describes it as "partial 16S ribosomal RNA". It matches the Rfam family "Bacterial small subunit ribosomal RNA", at positions 338 to 795 of the family's 1533-position model. The record is from RNAcentral.